UGGGGAAUAUUGCACAAUGGGCGCAAGCCUGAUGCAGCCAUGCCGCGUGUGUGAAGAAGGCCUUCGGGUUGUAAAGCACUUUCAGCGAGGAGGAAGGUGGUGAACUUAAUACGUUCAUCAAUUGACGUUACUCGCAGAAGAAGCACCGGCUAACUCCGUGCCAGCAGCCGCGGUAAUACGGAGGGUGCAAGCGUUAAUCGGAAUUACUGGGCGUAAAGCGCACGCAGGCGGUUUGUUAAGUCAGAUGUGAAAUCCCCGGGCUCAACCUGGGAACUGCAUUUGAAACUGGCAAGCUAGAGUCUCGUAGAGGGGGGUAGAAUUCCAGGUGUAGCGGUGAAAUGCGUAGAGAUCUGGAGGAAUACCGGUGGCGAAAGGCGGCCCCCCUGGACGAAGACUGACGCUCAGGUGCGAAAGCGUGGGGAGCAAAACAGGAUUAGAUACCCUGGUAGUCCACGCUGUAAAACGAUGUCGAUUUUGGAGGUUGUGCCCUUGAGGCGUGGNUUCCGGAGCUAACGCGUUAAAUCGACCG
RNAcentral lists this ribosomal RNA (529 nucleotides) under uncultured bacterium. RNAcentral's name for it is "partial 16S ribosomal RNA". It matches the Rfam family "Bacterial small subunit ribosomal RNA", at positions 355 to 871 of the family's 1533-position model. The record is from RNAcentral.